UGGUGGGUUGCCUUGUCAGGUUGAUUCCGGUAACGAACGAGACCUCAGCCUGCUAAAUAGUCACGGGUACCUUGGUACACGCUUGACUUCUUAGAGGGACUAUUGGCGUUUAGCCAAUGGAAGUGUGAGGCAAUAACA
Molecule: ribosomal RNA, 138 nt
Filed under: uncultured eukaryote
Lineage: Eukaryota
Description: partial 18S ribosomal RNA
Rfam family: Eukaryotic small subunit ribosomal RNA
Source: RNAcentral